ACGGAGGGAGCUAGCGUUGUUCGGAAUUACUGGGCGUAAAGCGCACGUAGGCGGCUUUGUAAGUUAGGGGUGAAAGCCUGGAGCUCAACUUCAGAAUUGCCCUUAAGACUGCAUCGCUUGAAUCCAGGAGAGGUGAGUGGAAUUCCGAGUGUAGAGGUGAAAUUCGUAGAUAUUCGGAAGAACACCAGUGGCGAAGGCGGCUCACUGGUCCAUUACUGACGCUGAGGUGCGAAAGCGUGGGGAGCAAACAGG
RNAcentral lists this ribosomal RNA (252 nucleotides) under uncultured bacterium. Its description in RNAcentral is "partial 16S ribosomal RNA". It matches the Rfam family "Bacterial small subunit ribosomal RNA", at positions 525 to 776 of the family's 1533-position model. The record is from RNAcentral.